This 2260-nucleotide long non-coding RNA is filed under the name Homo sapiens (human). RNAcentral describes it as "PREDICTED lncRNA (TCONS_00002609)". The record is from RNAcentral. Lineage: Eukaryota; Metazoa; Chordata; Mammalia; Primates; Hominidae.
CUGUAGAACCCCUAGGUGGCUCUAAAGUGUGACACCAAAUAAUUUCUGUGAGCUCAGAAGGGGACAGCAUCUGCCUUUAGGCAUGACAGUUCAGCCAACUCUGGGUGCCCUUGAGGGUUUCUCUUUCAAUCCCAGAAAUGCUGAUAACUCAGCUGGGCUGGGGCAGGAUUUGGCAUGAUAGGCUGGCUCUGAACCCCCUCCUAAGAGACCAAGAGAGGAAGUGAUGGAAUUGGUUGGUCCCAUUUCAACUCUAUGCUGAUUCUCAGGGUUCUCAUGGCUUCCCUAAGAGAGCCACCUAAACUGCUCGGGGGUGAAAAAUCCUCUUGUAUUGAAGUGCCAAGCUGCCUGCAGCAGUGCAUGAUGGACAUUUUUUUUUUCUUUUUAAAACACACCAACAAAAAAAUGUAUUUGUAGAUUGUGAUAAAAUGUAAAUAACUGAAUUUUCAACCAUGGUUUGAAGUCAGCUUUCAGGGCAUUAUGUCUUGUUUUGAUGAAAAGAGAUCACUCUAUACCCCCCUUUUUAAAGGAAAAUUAUCGCAAGAGAAUCAGGAUGUGUAAAGCUAACAUGCAUCGCAAAAAACCAAAGGUAACCUAAAUGUCUGAUUUUAAUAGCACAUAUUUCUCUUUUACAUAAACUGUGACAGCAACUUGCAUAAACAAUUCUUUAGCUGUUAAUUUUAAUGUUAAAACUUUGCAAAACUUGUUUAAUAAAAAUAGCUGUAAAAAGAAAAACCAUAUGUUGCCGCAUAAAUUAGCCAUAACUCUUAAUAAUCCUGCCCAUCACAAGUGAACUGUAACGUAACCUGGGCACAAAGUCUGACAUCUUAAAUGACACAUUGUAAAAUUUCAAUGACUGUAGAUUAGACCUCCUGCUGCACCCCAAAAGCUUUCUGCUCAGCUAUUUAAAACUGUGUAAGGAUGAGUCCCUGUAGGUCCCCAUAUUGAUAUUCACAAUGAAACUUUACUUAAAAUUUCUUAAAAGUUGCAUGUUUCUCCUGUAAUGUGUAAACUGCAUGCAGGAUCUCUUUAUCUUUUAUUUUGUAUGUCUUUAAAACUUCCUCUUCAAAAGACUGAUCUGUUAUUUCUCCAUUUUCAGGUGACUGAAAACUCCUGAGGCAUUUCCUGGACUAGAAUGGGUAGUGAAGACCCAUGUCAGCUAUCAGAGGACUCCUGAAACCUGGAGAGCUACCUGCUGUAUAAAGGCUGGCCUGAGGGCAUUUGCUGAACACAGAGAAACCCAGGAGAGGAGAUCAGCAGUUUUCUUUCACUCUACUUGAUCUGUCAGAUUUACCCACAGAAAGCCAGUCAGGAUCCCUUAAGAGUCUUUAGGCCCAGAAUGGAGUCCUCAGGGCUGCAGGGGACUGUGGUGCUAACAAUUAAACUGUUCAAGACUUUAAAGAGUUGAAGGGGACUAAUGGGUAUCCCUAGCAUGGCCUCCUAGAUGGGAAUUAACUGGCAACUCCUACUGUGCCAUUCCCAGUAUGUGUGCUUCCCUUUAGCCUCCCAUAGAAUUGGCUGAAACACCCUACCACCGUUUUCUGUUUCCCCACUACCACACCUGUGUUAUGGGUGUCAGCCUGUGAGUCCUUGAACCCUUCCAGAGGGCUCCCAAGGGAGGGUGAUCACUGCCCUUCCAUAAAAGGCUGAGGAAAGCCAAGUGAGAAGAUUCAAUUAAUUUGGGCAAGUUAUUUAACAUCUGAACCUGUUUUUCUCUUCAUUGUUUAUUACUUACCUUGUCCAAAAAGGUCAUAAAGGGUAGGGCUUUUUCUGUUCCACCUCUGUACUAUAUUUCUCCCCAACAAAUAUCUGCCCCUGAGGACCUCAAUAAAGGUUUGGUCAAGUGAUGAAUGGUCCCACUCUGGUAGCUUCUAUCAGCUUUGGGAGAGAGCCAAAGCCCCCUUGUUUAGCUCUCACUUUCCUUCCAGCUAUACUAGGCCAGCUAUUUGUUCUGCCAUUUUCCCUUGAAGGAUUGGAAAGUCAGCCUUUGAUAGGCUUCUGGUUUCCUCUGGCCUAUUUCUAGGUUGAUUUAUACUCAGCUUCCUGAGAGGCUAGGGACCUCUGAUACUGUACUCUUCCCUAAUGCCUUCUGGUUAUUUAUCCUAACAAAGGAACAAGGGGAAGGACUGAGUUUAGGGAGAGAAUAGAGCCUAUCUGCAUUUUAACUGUGCCUGGGGCAUUCUAGUGAGCUUGGAUUCAUCCUUAGCAGGAACAGAAGUAUAAUGGAAAGGGAUUCCUUAAAGUCAGUUGAUUUACACUGGGC